UCAGAGCCGUCUGGAGAGCCAUCGCGCCACGCGCGAUGCACCGAAGGAGCAAAUCCGCUGCGGGCGCAGCGGAUGAAUCUCUCAGGUACCGAGGACAGGGGGAGCGGC
Molecule: non-coding RNA, 108 nt
Filed under: Variovorax sp.
Lineage: Bacteria; Pseudomonadati; Pseudomonadota; Betaproteobacteria; Burkholderiales; Comamonadaceae
Description: Glycine sequence
Rfam family: Glycine riboswitch aptamer
About the family: This family represents the bacterial glycine riboswitch. Glycine riboswitches usually consist of two metabolite-binding aptamers domains with similar structures in tandem.
Source: RNAcentral